RNAcentral lists this ribosomal RNA (300 nucleotides) under uncultured Mycobacterium sp. RNAcentral describes it as "bacterial SSU rRNA". It matches the Rfam family "Bacterial small subunit ribosomal RNA", at positions 115 to 414 of the family's 1533-position model. The record is from RNAcentral. Lineage: Bacteria; Bacillati; Actinomycetota; Actinomycetes; Mycobacteriales; Mycobacteriaceae.
ACGUGGGUGAUCUGCCCUGCACUUUGGGAUAAGCCUGGGAAACUGGGUCUAAUACCGAAUACACCUCACUGGCUGCAUGGUUGGUGGGGGAAAGCUUUUGCGGUGUGGGAUGGGCCCGCGGCCUAUCAGCUUGUUGGUGGGGUGAUGGCCUACCAAGGCGACUACGGGUAGCCGGCCUGAGAGGGUGACCGGCCACACUGGGACUGAGAUACGGCCCAGACUCCUACGGGAGGCAGCAGUGGGGAAUAUUGCACAAUGGGCGCAAGCCUGAUGCAGCGACGCCGCGUGAGGGGAUGACGG